This 2928-nucleotide ribosomal RNA is filed under the name Salmonella enterica subsp. enterica serovar Tennessee. RNAcentral describes it as "bacterial LSU rRNA". It matches the Rfam family "Bacterial large subunit ribosomal RNA". Lineage: Bacteria; Pseudomonadati; Pseudomonadota; Gammaproteobacteria; Enterobacterales; Enterobacteriaceae. The record is from RNAcentral.
GGGUUGUGAGGUUAAGCGACUAAGCGUACACGGUGGAUGCCCUGGCAGUCAGAGGCGAUGAAGGGCGUGCUAAUCUGCGAUAAGCGCCGGUAAGGUGAUAUGAACCGUUAUAACCGGCGAUACCCGAAUGGGGAAACCCAGUGUGACUCGUCACACUAUCAUUAACUGAAUCCAUAGGUUAAUGAGGCGAACCGGGGGAACUGAAACAUCUAAGUACCCCGAGGAAAAGAAAUCAACCGAGAUUCCCCCAGUAGCGGCGAGCGAACGGGGAGGAGCCCAGAGCCUGAAUCAGCAUGUGUGUUAGUGGAAGCGUCUGGAAAGGCGCGCGAUACAGGGUGACAGCCCCGUACACAAAAGCGCAUGUGCUGUGAGCUCGAUGAGUAGGGCGGGACACGUGGUAUCCUGUCUGAAUAUGGGGGGACCAUCCUCCAAGGCUAAAUACUCCUGACUGACCGAUAGUGAACCAGUACCGUGAGGGAAAGGCGAAAAGAACCCCGGCGAGGGGAGUGAAAAAGAACCUGAAACCGUGUACGUACAAGCAGUGGGAGCACAGGUUUACCUGUGUGACUGCGUACCUUUUGUAUAAUGGGUCAGCGACUUAUAUUCUGUAGCAAGGUUAACCGAAUAGGGGAGCCGCAGGGAAACCGAGUCUUAACCGGGCGUUAAGUUGCAGGGUAUAGACCCGAAACCCGGUGAUCUAGCCAUGGGCAGGUUGAAGGUUGGGUAACACUAACUGGAGGACCGAACCGACUAAUGUUGAAAAAUUAGCGGAUGACCUGUGGCUGGGGGUGAAAGGCCAAUCAAACCGGGAGAUAGCUGGUUCUCCCCGAAAGCUAUUUAGGUAGCGCCUCGUGAAUUCAUCUCCGGGGGUAGAGCACUGUUUCGGCUAGGGGGCCAUCCCGGCUUACCAACCCGAUGCAAACUGCGAAUACCGGAGAAUGUUAUCACGGGAGACACACGGCGGGUGCUAACGUCCGUCGUGAAGAGGGAAACAACCCAGACCGCCAGCUAAGGUCCCAAAGUCAUGGUUAAGUGGGAAACGAUGUGGGAAGGCCCAGACAGCCAGGAUGUUGGCUUAGAAGCAGCCAUCAUUUAAAGAAAGCGUAAUAGCUCACUGGUCGAGUCGGCCUGCGCGGAAGAUGUAACGGGGCUAAACCAUGCACCGAAGCUGCGGCAGCGACACUGUGUGUUGUUGGGUAGGGGAGCGUUCUGUAAGCCUGUGAAGGUGUGUCGUGAGGCAUGCUGGAGGUAUCAGAAGUGCGAAUGCUGACAUAAGUAACGAUAAAGCGGGUGAAAAGCCCGCUCGCCGGAAGACCAAGGGUUCCUGUCCAACGUUAAUCGGGGCAGGGUGAGUCGACCCCUAAGGCGAGGCCGAAAGGCGUAGUCGAUGGGAAACGGGUUAAUAUUCCCGUACUUGGUGUUACUGCGAAGGGGGGACGGAGAAGGCUAUGUUGGCCGGGCGACGGUUGUCCCGGUUUAAGCGUGUAGGUGUGUGUUCCAGGUAAAUCCGGUUCACUUUAACACUGAGGCGUGAUGACGAGGCACUACGGUGCUGAAGCAACAAAUGCCCUGCUUCCAGGAAAAGCCUCUAAGCAUCAGGUAACAUCAAAUCGUACCCCAAACCGACACAGGUGGUCAGGUAGAGAAUACCAAGGCGCUUGAGAGAACUCGGGUGAAGGAACUAGGCAAAAUGGUGCCGUAACUUCGGGAGAAGGCACGCUGACAUGUAGGUGAAGUGAUUUACUCAUGGAGCUGAAGUCAGUCGAAGAUACCAGCUGGCUGCAACUGUUUAUUAAAAACACAGCACUGUGCAAACACGAAAGUGGACGUAUACGGUGUGACGCCUGCCCGGUGCCGGAAGGUUAAUUGAUGGGGUCAGCGCAAGCGAAGCUCCUGAUCGAAGCCCCGGUAAACGGCGGCCGUAACUAUAACGGUCCUAAGGUAGCGAAAUUCCUUGUCGGGUAAGUUCCGACCUGCACGAAUGGCGUAAUGAUGGCCAGGCUGUCUCCACCCGAGACUCAGUGAAAUUGAACUCGCUGUGAAGAUGCAGUGUACCCGCGGCAAGACGGAAAGACCCCGUGAACCUUUACUAUAGCUUGACACUGAACAUUGAGCCUUGAUGUGUAGGAUAGGUGGGAGGCUUUGAAGUGUGGACGCCAGUCUGCAUGGAGCCGACCUUGAAAUACCACCCUUUAAUGUUUGAUGUUCUAACGUGGACCCGUUAUCCGGGUUGCGGACAGUGUCUGGUGGGUAGUUUGACUGGGGCGGUCUCCUCCUAAAGAGUAACGGAGGAGCACGAAGGUUGGCUAAUCCUGGUCGGACAUCAGGAGGUUAGUGCAAUGGCAUAAGCCAGCUUGACUGCGAGCGUGACGGCGCGAGCAGGUGCGAAAGCAGGUCAUAGUGAUCCGGUGGUUCUGAAUGGAAGGGCCAUCGCUCAACGGAUAAAAGGUACUCCGGGGAUAACAGGCUGAUACCGCCCAAGAGUUCAUAUCGACGGCGGUGUUUGGCACCUCGAUGUCGGCUCAUCACAUCCUGGGGCUGAAGUAGGUCCCAAGGGUAUGGCUGUUCGCCAUUUAAAGUGGUACGCGAGCUGGGUUUAGAACGUCGUGAGACAGUUCGGUCCCUAUCUGCCGUGGGCGCUGGAGAACUGAGGGGGGCUGCUCCUAGUACGAGAGGACCGGAGUGGACGCAUCACUGGUGUUCGGGUUGUCAUGCCAAUGGCACUGCCCGGUAGCUAAAUGCGGAAGAGAUAAGUGCUGAAAGCAUCUAAGCACGAAACUUGCCCCGAGAUGAGUUCUCCCUGAGACUUAGAGUCUCCUGAAGGAACGUUGAAGACGACGACGUUGAUAGGCCGGGUGUGUAAGCGCAGCGAUGCGUUGAGCUAACCGGUACUAAUGAACCGUGAGGCUUAACCUUACAACGCCGAAG